AGUGUGACAUAUGUGGAGAAGAACCUCCUAGCUAAUCUUCCAUCCAUAAGUUUCAUUCAAAUUCACUUACAACCUGUUUUGUUUUACAAAGUUUGUUUUGUUUUCAAAUUCAUUAAAACCAAAAUCCCCCUUUUACUUUAUUGUUUCAAAGUGUUUAAUUUCUGUUUUGGUUGUGUGUUAGAGUGUUUUGAUUCACCCAAAUUUGUCUAAGAAUUUGUUUACUUUGUUUUUGUCUUAAUUUAAUUAUUUUCGUCGAAAAUCAACCCCAUCUUAUUUCUUUGAGUCAUAUUA
This 291-nucleotide long non-coding RNA is filed under the name Malus domestica (apple). RNAcentral's name for it is "long non-coding RNA (MDOM_LNC007573)". The record is from RNAcentral. Lineage: Eukaryota; Viridiplantae; Streptophyta; Magnoliopsida; Rosales; Rosaceae.